GACGAACGCUGGCGGCGUGCUUAACACAUGCAAGUCGAACGGAAAGGCCCUGCUUUUGUGGGGUGCUCGAGUGGCGAACGGGUGAGUAACACGUGAGUAACCUGCCCUUGACUUUGGGAUAACUUCAGGAAACUGGGGCUAAUACCGGAUAGGAGCUCCUGCUGCAUGGUGGGGGUUGGAAAGUUUCGGCGGUUGGGGAUGGACUCGCGGCUUAUCAGCUUGUUGGUGGGGUAGUGGCUUACCAAGGCUUUGACGGGUAGCCGGCCUGAGAGGGUGACCGGCCACAUUGGGACUGAGAUACGGCCCAGACUCCUACGGGUGGCAGCGGUGGGGAAUAUUGCACAAUGGGCGGAAGCCUGAUGCAGCAACGCCGCGUGCGGGAUGACGGCCUUCGGGUUGUAAACCGCUUUCGCCUGUGACGAAGCGUGAGUGACGGUAAUGGGUAAAGAAGCACCGGCUAACUACGUG
Molecule: ribosomal RNA, 468 nt
Filed under: uncultured bacterium
Lineage: Bacteria
Description: partial 16S ribosomal RNA
Rfam family: Bacterial small subunit ribosomal RNA
Source: RNAcentral